GACGAACGCUGGCGGCGUGCUUAACACAUGCAAGUCGAGCGGUAAGGCCCUUUCGGGGGUACACGAGCGGCGAACGGGUGAGUAACACGUGGGUGACCUGCCCUCAGCUCUGGGAUAAGCCUGGGAAACUGGGUCUAAUACUGGAUAUGACUCCACGGUGCAUGUCGUGGGGUGGAAAGCCUUGUGCGGCUGAGGAUGGGCCCGCGGCCUACCAGCUUGUUGGUGGGGUGAGGCCUACCAAGGCGACGACGGGUAGCCGGCCUGAGAGGGCGACCGGCCACACUGGGACUGAGACACGGCCCAGACUCCUACGGGAGGCAGCAGUGGGGAAUCUUGCGCAAUGGGCGAAAGCCUGACGCAGCGACGCCGCGUGAGGGAUGACGGCCU
This 387-nucleotide ribosomal RNA is filed under the name uncultured bacterium. Its description in RNAcentral is "bacterial SSU rRNA". It matches the Rfam family "Bacterial small subunit ribosomal RNA", at positions 28 to 417 of the family's 1533-position model. The record is from RNAcentral.